Molecule: ribosomal RNA, 375 nt
Filed under: uncultured bacterium
Lineage: Bacteria
Description: bacterial SSU rRNA
Rfam family: Bacterial small subunit ribosomal RNA
Source: RNAcentral
AUGUGAAGAUGGGCGCAGCCUGACCGCAAUGCCGCGUGGGUGAAGAAGGUCUUCGGAUUGUAAAGCCCUUUCGGCGGGGACGAUGAUGACGGUACCCGCAGAAGAAGCCCCGGCUAACUUCGUGCCAGCAGCCGCGGUAAUACGAAGGGGGCUAGCGUUGCUCGGAAUCACUGGGCGUAAAGGGCGCGUAGGCGGCCCUGUUGGUCCGGCGUGAAAUCCCUGGGCUUAACCUGGGGGCUGCGCUGGAGACGGCGGGGCUGGAGGCCGAGAGAGGGUGGUGGAAUUCCCAGUGUAGAGGUGAAAUUCGUAGAUAUUGGGAAGAAGGGGGGUGGCGAAGGCGGCCACCUGGCUCGGACCUGACGCUGAGGCGCGACG